CCUACGGGUGGCAGCAGUGGGGAAUUUUGCGCAAUGGGGGCAACCCUGACGCAGCAACGCCGCGUGAGUGAUGAAGGCCUUCGGGUCGUAAAGCUCUGUCAGAGGGGAAGAAAUGCAGGUGGUGAACAACCAUUCUGUUUGACGGUACCCUCAAAGGAAGCACCGGCUAACUCCGUGCCAGCAGCCGCGGUAAUACGGAGGGGGCGAGCGUUGUUCGGCAUUAUUGGGCGUAAAGCGCGUGUAGGCGGUUUGUUAAGUCUGAGGUGAAAGCCCCGGGCUCAACCUGGGAAGUGCAGUGGAGACUGGCAGACUUGAGUACGGGAGAGGAGAGUGGAAUUCCCGGUGUAGGAGUAAAAUCCGUAGAUAUUGGGAGGAACACCGGUGGCGAAGGCGGCUCUCUGGCCCGAUACUGACGCUGAGGCGCGAAAGCGUGGGGAGCAAACAGGAUUAGAUACCCCUGUAGU
RNAcentral lists this ribosomal RNA (464 nucleotides) under uncultured Geobacteraceae bacterium. Its description in RNAcentral is "partial 16S ribosomal RNA". It matches the Rfam family "Bacterial small subunit ribosomal RNA", at positions 338 to 794 of the family's 1533-position model. The record is from RNAcentral. Lineage: Bacteria; Pseudomonadati; Thermodesulfobacteriota; Desulfuromonadia; Geobacterales; Geobacteraceae.